ACUUUAUCUCGCCUCUCUCUUUAUGGUGAGCAAAGCACAUGUAUCCUGAACUGAUUAACUCAUGGCCUAAGGUCUCCCGCUUUAAAAAAAAAAAAAAAAGCCAAACCUGGAAAGAUUUCUCAAAUAGAGACAAACUUGUUGCUGCCCCGAGUGGCCCGUGCGAAAGCUCUCCUAGGUUUGCACGCGCCCAGCGCAGGGCCGGGAAGUGCCGCUGCCGGGCGAGGGCCGGGGCAGAGUCCCGCCCUCCUCCCCCGGCGGCCUGCACUUGAGCCGGAACGAGGGUGAGUGCGAGGGAACAGUCUCUCCAAACUCCUUAGAAAAGAACUCUUGCAGACUGUUUACCACACUGUCCAGCUGCCCGGAAAGGUCCGACGCGUUUCCUGCACUCGUCCCAGCUCAGUUCGAACUUUUCUCCACCCGUGAUCUGAAGGCUAAAUUAUUUUUAUUCCGACUCUGAAAAGUUAAACUAAGAUCUAAAUAAAUCACUAAGGGAAAUGACCGGAAGCUGCGAAGAUCUAACUUCCAGUAACUCCUCAGAAACUCCAGUACCCUCACGGCGGCUCAGAUCUGCAAAACUCCUCGGUCCGCAGAUGUCCGGGAGGCAGUUAACUUGAGCUCGCGCGACGCCCUGCUGCACCUGCGGAGGAGGCAGGGCGUCUCCGCGCGUCUCGGAACGGCCGCACCGUACUUCCCGCGCUCCGCCCGCCAGCCUUCGGGCGGCCGCCAGCCACCCCGGCUUCCCUCGGUCACCCGCCCGCAGCCGAUCGUGCGGGGGAGAAAAAGGGAAAGGGGGACUGGCAUCCCCUCGUCUGGGGAAGCGGCAGCGCGAGGGCCCAGUCAGGCCCCCGGCUCGCAGCGAGGCCCGAACGCGCGCACACUCGGCGACCAGGGCGGUGGCGCUCCAGAGAACGGGCGGGGUGGUGGUGGCGGGGAGGUUUGAGGAGGGCGGAAGCGCCGAUGGCUGGCGAGCACUCUUGAGAGUCGCGGACCCCGGGUUUCCCCGGGUGACUAGGGUGCGGGUGCCCACGCUGUGCGCGACGCCUGGGUCACUGGCUGGAGCCCACGAGCCAGGCGCACAGCUGAGCUAGGCGGCCGCCGCCACGGAGCCUGGUGGGCGGCGC
Long non-coding RNA from Bos taurus (domestic cattle), 1121 nucleotides. The record is from Ensembl. Lineage: Eukaryota; Metazoa; Chordata; Mammalia; Artiodactyla; Bovidae.